This 253-nucleotide ribosomal RNA is filed under the name uncultured bacterium. Its description in RNAcentral is "partial 16S ribosomal RNA". It matches the Rfam family "Bacterial small subunit ribosomal RNA", at positions 524 to 776 of the family's 1533-position model. The record is from RNAcentral.
UACAGAGGGGGCACGCGUUGUUCGGAAUUACUGGGCGUAAAGGGCGCGUAGGCGGCCUGUUAAGUCGAACGUGAAAUCCCCGGGCUCAACCCGGGAACUGCGUCCGAUACUGGCAGGCUUGAAUCCGGGAGAGGGAUGUGGAAUUCCAGGUGUAGCGGUGAAAUGCGUAGAUAUCUGGAGGAACACCGGUGGCGAAGGCGGCAGCCUGGACCGGUAUUGACGCUGAGGCGCGAAAGCCAGGGGAGCAAACGGG